This 87-nucleotide unclassified non-coding RNA is filed under the name Pseudomonas gessardii. The record is from RNAcentral. Lineage: Bacteria; Pseudomonadati; Pseudomonadota; Gammaproteobacteria; Pseudomonadales; Pseudomonadaceae.
UGUAGGAGCUGGCUUGCCUGCGAUGGCCUUACCGCGGAGUGCCUGACACACAGCGGUGAGGCCAUCGCAGGCAAGCCAGCUCCUACA